Molecule: ribosomal RNA, 1002 nt
Filed under: uncultured archaeon
Lineage: Archaea
Description: bacterial SSU rRNA
Rfam family: Archaeal small subunit ribosomal RNA
Source: RNAcentral
CUCCGGUUGCUCUCAACGGACCCGACUGCUAUCGGAUUGAGAUUUAGCCAUGUGAGUCGAACGCUUCUUGAGUGCAAGGGGCGUGGCGUACGGCUCAGUAACACGUAGUCAACCUGCCCUGGAGACGUGGACAACCCCGGGAAACUGGGAUUAAUCCAUGAUAGGUCAUCUCAUCUGGAAGGAGAGAUGGCUUAAAGGGAAACGCGGGCUUCUUCCGCGACAUUCGCUCCAGGAUGGGACUGCGACCGAUCAGGCUGUUGGCGGGGUAAUGGCCCACCAAACCUGUUACCGGUACGGGCCUUGAGAGAGGGGGCCCGGAGAUGGACACUGAGAGAAGGGUCCAGGUCCUACGGGGCGCAGCAGGCGCGAAACCUUCGCAAUGCGCGAAAGCGUGACGAGGUUAAUCCGAGUGGCCCCCGCUGAGGGGGUCUUUUGUCGGCUGUAAAAAGGCCGGUGAAUAAGGGGAGGGCAAGUCUGGUGUCAGCCGCCGCGGUAAUACCAGCUCCUCGAGUGGUCGGGGCGAUUAUUGGGCCUAAAGCAUCCGUAGCCUGUUCCGUAGGUCCCCUGUUAAAUCCAACGGCUUAACCGUUGGCCUGCAGAGGAUACCGCGGGACUAGGAGGCGGGAGAGGUGGGCGGUACUCCACGUGUAGGGGUAAAAUCCUUUGAUCCGUGGAAGACCACCAGAUCGAUUGUGGAGAGCAUAACAACGAGCAAUUAACGAAACGUGAGCAUUCCAAGAAGCAACUUCACGACCUUCGCGUGCAAGAUUUCGCUUAACUAUCCUGAAAAUACGCUCGUCUGCAAGCUCUUUACAACCGAGGUGAAUGGCGAAGGCGGCCCACCAGAACGCGCUCGACGGUGAGGGAUGAAAGCUGGGGGAGCGAACCGGAUUAGAUACCCGGGUAGUCCCAGCCGUAAACGAUGCGAGCUAGAUGAUCCAGUCGCAAAUCGCGAUUGGAGUGUCGCAGGGAAGCCGUUAAGCUCGCAACCUGGGGAGUACG